UAUCUCUAAUUGAGCGACAAUCUUUGGCCC
RNAcentral lists this non-coding RNA (30 nucleotides) under Mus musculus (house mouse). The record is from RNAcentral. Lineage: Eukaryota; Metazoa; Chordata; Mammalia; Rodentia; Muridae.